UUUCCGUAGGUGAACCUGCGGAAGGAUCAUUAAAAAAUGUGGUACCAAUUAUUGGUACUGAUUAAUCAUCCUACCCUUUGUGAAUUUGUUUGUAUGAAUUUUUUUAAAUGGGUCUUUCCCUAAGUUGGAUUGUUAGUAAAAUACAAAAAGACUUAGGGGAAUGACUUUUUUAAAAGACUUUUUUUUAAUUAAAACUUUUUGUAUUCAUUUGUCUAAAAUUUAUUUUUAUAAUAUAAAAACAACUUUUGACAAUGGAUCUCUUGGUUCUCGCAACGAUGAAGAACGCAGCAAAAUGCGAUAAGUAGUGUGAAUUGCAGAAUACGUGAAUCAUCGAAUCUUCGAACGCAUAUUGCACUUUUUUAGUUUACUAAAAAAGUAUGUCUGUUUGAGUAUCAGUAAAAUAUUCUCACAAACAUAUAUUGUUUGUGGUUAUGAGUGUUUUACAACGAUAAACAAGUUGUUUCACUUUAAAUUCUUUUUAAUUGAAUUUUUACCAAUUCAUAAAUUAAAAUUGGAUAAAAUUUUCCUUUAACCGAGAAUAACCUAAACAAUUUUAAAUUUUAUGGAUUAAUAAACAUUCAUCAAAGGAAUCUAAUUAUACAUAAAUAACUUGAUCUCAAAUCAGAUAAGAGUACCCGCUGAACUUAAGCAUAUCAAUAAGCGGAGGAAAAGAAACUAACAAGGAUUCCCUUAGUAACGGCGAGUGAAGCGGGAAGAGCUCAAAUUUGAAAUCUUCAAGGUUUGACCUUGACGAAUUGUAGUUUAUAGAAGUGUUUUCUGUUGGAGUUUUGGUAAAAGUUCUUUGGAAUAGGACAUCAUAGAGGGUGAGAAUCCCGUAUUUGACCAUGACUUUCCAGCUGUGUGAUACACUUUCAAAGAGUCGGAUUGUUUGGGAAUGCAGUCCAAAAUGGGUGGUAAAUUUCAUCUAAAGCUAAAUAUUGGCGAGAGACCGAUAGCGAACAAGUACCGUGAGGGAAAGAUGAAAAGAACUUUGAAAAGAGAGUUAAACAGUACGUGAAAUUGUCAAAAGGGAAGCGUUUGACACCAGUGUUGUUUUCUCGAAAAUCAAUUUAAUGAGUUCUUGUUUUUAAGUUAUUGUGACUUUAUCAGCGCAUUUCUUAUUUUACUUGACUCAUUGAAUGCACUUUUCGUUUAACAAGUCAACAUCAAUUUCUUUGGUGGUAAAAAGUUUAAAGGAAGGUGGCUUGGACUUCGGUUCAAGUGUUUAUAGCCUUUUUUCUAUGCCAUCGGAGAGAUUGAGGUCUGCAGCGUAGAUCCUUCGGGGUUAGAUACCUUUGUGCUAAGUUAUAGUUUUUUAUAGACAACUUGUUGACUAUAAUUAACCCUGUAAUUUACUCGCUUAGGCUAUUUUACCUACGCUUAGGAUGUUG
RNAcentral lists this unclassified non-coding RNA (1391 nucleotides) under uncultured Neocallimastigales. Its description in RNAcentral is "partial contains small subunit ribosomal RNA, internal transcribed spacer 1, 5.8S ribosomal RNA, internal transcribed spacer 2, and large subunit ribosomal RNA". The stretch from base 612 to 1391 matches the Rfam family "Eukaryotic large subunit ribosomal RNA", at positions 1 to 628 of the family's 3401-position model. The record is from RNAcentral. Lineage: Eukaryota; Fungi; Neocallimastigomycota; Neocallimastigomycetes; Neocallimastigales.